CCUAAAGAAAAUGCAGAAAGCUAUGUUAGUUAUCAAAAGAAAAAUUUAAGUAAUAAACAUUAACUGUAAUUAAGAUUAAUCAGAAAUUAUCCAGUUGAGGAUAUAUUUUUUUCCUCCAGUAAAAUUUAUAUGAUUAGACCAUUUGGUUUAUAUCUAUUGAUGUGUAGCACAGGGACUGUACAAUCAUUUUUCUGUAUACACGGAUUCAACCAUCCAAUGCUCAAAAAUAUUUUUGAAAUAUUAAAAAAAGAAAAGCUCGACUUUGCCAUUUUUAUAUAAGGGAUACCAUUUUAUCAAGCUCAGAAAAUGCUGAAAAAAUGAAAACAAUUAAAAUUAGAAGUCACUGGAAGUCCACUUCACAUUUUAUUUUAUUUUAUUUCAAAUAAUGGAUGUCCUCUAUAUUUAUCCAACUCACACAGGUGUUUUUCCAGGUCCAGAAGUGGGUGAGCAGCAAGUAAGUAAUAAAUACAUCUUUUACAGGAGAAAGGAAAGUCUGGUGGGAGGUGACGUACAAAUGCUCUGGGGGCACCUUUGGGCUGCAAGAAUGCCCUUGGGCCAUUUCCUAGCCUUUCCUGAUUUAAAAAGUAGUAAAAUGAGAAAAAAUAAGGACAGAAAGAAACUAUGAACAAUUUUGUUAAAAUGUUAGCAAAUCCAUUGCUUUCCUGAAAUAAUAGGCGAAUGGGAUUGUGAUGGUGUUUCAAGUAUGUGAAAUCCUUCCUUUCUGAUUUUGUAGUUUCUAGUAUGUGAGGAGGCCUUUCCUUUCUGUUUCUGUAGUGUAUAACGGAAGAAUUUGCCAUUGUUCUCCUCAUCACAUUUGCUCAAAUUAUGUGAUAGGAUGGAAAGCUGUGAAUAUUCUAAAUAAUGAAUUGGAGAGACUACAGAAAAUGGAAAUUAAUCAUAUAAUGGAAAUGAAUAGCAGCAGAGCAAUACCUUCAGGCAAUCAAGAGAUACUGUGCCAAUAUUACUGUUGAAUUAACUAUCUGUUUUAUGUACUAUAUAUACUCAUGACUCUAAAAAUCUCAGACAAUUUAUUCACAGUUCACUUUAAAUGUGCUCCCAGCCAUUUUGGGUGCUUGAGAUGGAAAGGAGAGGUUCCAGCCAUGUUUAAUAGGGGCUUACUAUAAAGCCUUGCAAGGCUGGCAACCACUUUAAAUAGGGGCUUACUGUAUAAGCUCUCACAUUGCUGCUGUAUGCCACUUGGGAUGAAUGCUCUCAAUUUACACAUGAAGUCGGUUUAUACAAGGGUAUAUAUAUGGUAUAUAUGGUAUCUUUUCUUACUAGGAAUGAAAUAUUUCCUGUUACUUACAACUAAUAUUAAUAUACAGUAUGUCAUUUUUAUCAUGCGUGACUAUUGAUGUGGGAUAAAGUGGUUCUUUAUCUUAGUCCAUAUUUAAAGCUUUUUUGUUUUCUGCCAAUGUUUGCAUCUUUCUCUUUUUCUAACCUUACCCAUUCCCUCUGGUAUUUUGCACUACAACUCCCAGAACUUCCCAGUCAGAAAAUUCUGGGAGCUGUAAUGCAAAAUGAUAUAUUUGUAACUUCUUGAUCAAAAUUUACAUGUACUAACAUUUUAAAACGAUUUGGAGAAUGAUAUGGCAAUACAGCUCCAAGCCCUCUCUCAGGCCGUCCUGUCUCCCUGAAAGAAUCAAAGA
Anolis carolinensis (green anole) is the source of this 1649-nucleotide long non-coding RNA. RefSeq lists it as uncharacterized. The transcript is spliced from 2 exons. The record is from RefSeq and is a predicted model, not a curated record. Lineage: Eukaryota; Metazoa; Chordata; Lepidosauria; Squamata; Anolidae.